This 253-nucleotide ribosomal RNA is filed under the name uncultured bacterium. RNAcentral's name for it is "partial 16S ribosomal RNA". It matches the Rfam family "Bacterial small subunit ribosomal RNA", at positions 524 to 776 of the family's 1533-position model. The record is from RNAcentral.
UACGGAGGGUGCAAGCGUUGUUCGGAAUCACUGGGCGUAAAGGGCGUGUAGGCGGUCUAUCAAGUCUGGUGUGAAAUCCCCUCGCUCAACGAGGGAACUGCGCCGGAAACUGACAGACUAGAGUACCGGAGAGGAAGGUGGAAUUCCCGGUGUAGCGGUGAAAUGCGUAGAUAUUAGGAAGAACACCGGUGGCGAAGGCGGCCCACUGGAUCGGUACUGACGCUGAGGUGCGAAAGCGUGGGGAGCAAACAGG